Zonotrichia leucophrys gambelii is the source of this 485-nucleotide long non-coding RNA. RefSeq lists it as uncharacterized. The transcript is spliced from 5 exons. Lineage: Eukaryota; Metazoa; Chordata; Aves; Passeriformes; Passerellidae. The record is from RefSeq and is a predicted model, not a curated record.
GAGAUAGCAGGCAAGAUAAAAGGAAUGGGACUUAUCAGUGAGUUAAAAAAAGUAAAAAAAAGUUUGGGUUAUCUACAUUUUUACACUGUUCUGUUCACACUACAGAGGACUUCCUCUCACUCAGAUACACGGCCUGAGCAGGACUUCCCACCAAGUUAUGCUUUGAAGUAUCAGCUGUUAGAGCAUCCAAUUUCAAGACCAUUCUACGCAGGAGAGCAGUUACCUAAGGUCAAGCAAGCAGCAUUUUAUUUUUAAAGGCAAAAUUAUGUUCCCUGCAUCUGUCUAAAAGCAUUACCUGAAAAAGGAAAAUCUGGACUUCCUGCUCGCUGGUGUGUCAGACCCAGCACCCAUGUUGUCACAUCUGUGUCAGUGACACUUAUGAAACAUCUGAAUGCUCCAUCAGCUUAGUGAGUUCCUGGAGAUGCUGCAGUGUGAUUGGGUGUUUCCUUCAACUUUUAAAAAAAGUUUCUACAUUAAAACUUAGC